Molecule: transfer RNA, 66 nt
Filed under: Fukomys damarensis (Damara mole-rat)
Lineage: Eukaryota; Metazoa; Chordata; Mammalia; Rodentia; Bathyergidae
Rfam family: tRNA
About the family: Transfer RNA (tRNA) molecules are approximately 80 nucleotides in length.
Source: Rfam by way of RNAcentral
ACGAAUAUGGCUCAGUGGUAGAGCACAUGCAUAACAAGUAUGGGGCCCUGAGUUCAGGUAGUAGUA